Molecule: RNA transcript, 1535 nt
Organism: Triticum aestivum (bread wheat)
Lineage: Eukaryota; Viridiplantae; Streptophyta; Magnoliopsida; Poales; Poaceae
Gene name: photosystem II protein D1-like
Exons: 1
Source: RefSeq, a predicted model, not a curated record
UUGGAAUAGAAAUUGGCUAUUUCUACAUAGGGAAAGUCGUGUGCAAUGAAAAAUGCAAGCACGAUUUGGGGAGGGAUUUUUCUCUAUUGUAACAAGGAAGAAUUAUCUACUCCAUCCGACUAGUUCCGGGUUCGAGUCCCGGGCAACCCAUAUAGAAAAGACCCAUCAAAGUUUUUAACUUUGACUCACUUCAUUUACAAAUACAAAAUUAUUGGUUUGGUUAAUUUAGUUAUAUGGAUAGCUAAUCUUUGGGCUGACUUGGUUGACAUUGGUAUAUAGUCUAUGUUAUACUGUUAAAUAACAAGCCUUCUAUUAUCUAUAUUCUAGUUAAUACGUGUGCUUGGGAGUCCUUGCAAUUUGAAUAAACCAAGUUCUUACAAUGACUGCAAUUUUAGAGAGACGUGAAAGUACAAGCCUGUGGGGUCGCUUCUGCAACUGGAUAACUAGCACUGAAAAUCGUCUUUACAUCAGAUGGUUCGGUGUUUUGAUGAUCCCUACCUUAUUGACCGCAACUUCUGUAUUUAUUAUCGCCUUCAUCGCUGCCCCUCCAAUAGAUAUUGAUGGUAUUCGUGAGCCUGUUUCUGGUUCUUUACUUUAUGGAAACAAUAUUAUCUCUGGUGCUAUUAUCCCUACUUCUGCGGCGAUCGGAUUGCACUUUUACCCAAUUUGGGAAGCUGCAUCUGUUGAUGAGUGGUUAUACAAUGGUGGUCCUUAUGAGCUAAUUGUUCUACAUUUCUUACUUGUGUAGCUUGUUAUAUGGGUCGUGAGUGGGAACUUAGUUUCCGUCUGGGUAUGCGUCCUUGGAUUGCUGUAGCAUAUUCAGCUCCCAUUGCAGCUGCUACUGCUGUUUUCUUGAUUUACCCUAUUGGUCAAGGAAGCUUUUCUGAUGGUAUGCCUUUAGGAAUCUCUGGUACUUUCAACUUUAUGAUUGUAUUCCAGGCAGAGCACAACAUCCUUAUGCAUCCAUUCCACAUGUUAGGUGUAGCUGGUGUAUUCGGCGGUUCCCUAUUCAGUGCUAUGCAUGGUUCCUUGGUAACCUCUAGUUUGAUCAGGGAAACUACUGAAAAUGAAUCUGCUAAUGAGGGUUACAAAUUUGGUCAAGAUGAAGAAACUUAUAAUAUUGUGGCUGCUCAUGGUUAUUUUGGCCGAUUAAUCUUCCAAUAUGCUAGUUUCAACAACUCUCGUUCUUUACACUUCUUCUUGGCUGCUUGGCCUGUAGUAGGAAUCUGGUUCACUGCUUUAGGUAUUAGUACUAUGGCUUUCAACCUAAAUGGUUUCAAUUUCAACCAAUUUGUAGUUGAUAGUCAAGGUCGCGUUAUUAAUACUUGGGCUGAUAUCAUCAACCGUGCUAACCUUGGUAUGGAAGUAAUGCACGAACGUAACGCUCACAACUUCCCUCUAGACUUAGCUGCUAUUGAAGUUCCAUCUAUUAAUGGAUAAGGUUUUUGUGCUAACAUAUAAGAAUUUUUGAAGAAAGAAAAGACAGAAAUACCCAAUAUCUUGCUAGAACAAGAUAUUGGGUAUUUCUGUCUUUA